This 1157-nucleotide ribosomal RNA is filed under the name Staphylococcus epidermidis. RNAcentral describes it as "bacterial LSU rRNA". It matches the Rfam family "Bacterial large subunit ribosomal RNA", at positions 1 to 1153 of the family's 2925-position model. The record is from RNAcentral. Lineage: Bacteria; Bacillati; Bacillota; Bacilli; Caryophanales; Staphylococcaceae.
AGAUUAAGUUAUUAAGGGCGCACGGUGGAUGCCUUGGCACUAGAAGCCGAUGAAGGACGUUACUAACGACGAUAUGCUUUGGGUAGCUGUAAGUAAGCGUUGAUCCAGAGAUUUCCGAAUGGGGGAACCCAGCAUGAGUUAUGUCAUGUUAUCGACAUGUGAAUUCAUAGCAUGUCAGAAGGCAGACCCGGAGAACUGAAACAUCUUAGUACCCGGAGGAAGAGAAAGAAAAAUCGAUUCCCUGAGUAGCGGCGAGCGAAACGGGAAGAGCCCAAACCAACAAGCUUGCUUGUUGGGGUUGUAGGACACUCUAUACGGAGUUACAAAAGAACAUGUUAGACGAAUCAUCUGGAAAGAUGAAUCAAAGAAGGUAAUAAUCCUGUAGUCGAAAACAUAUUCUCUCUUGAGUGGAUCCUGAGUACGACGGAGCACGUGAAAUUCCGUCGGAAUCUGGGAGGACCAUCUCCUAAGGCUAAAUACUCUCUAGUGACCGAUAGUGAACCAGUACCGUGAGGGAAAGGUGAAAAGUACCCCGGAAGGGGAGUGAAAGAGAACUUGAAACCGUGUGCUUACAAGUAGUCAGAGCCCGUUAAUGGGUGAUGGCGUGCCUUUUGUAGAAUGAACCGGCGAGUUACGAUCUGAUGCAAGGUUAAGCAGCAAAUGUGGAGCCGCAGCGAAAGCGAGUCUGAAUAGGGCGUUGAGUAUUUGGUCGUAGACCCGAAACCAGGUGAUCUACCCUUGGUCAGGUUGAAGUUCAGGUAACACUGAAUGGAGGACCGAACCGACUUACGUUGAAAAGUGAGCGGAUGAACUGAGGGUAGCGGAGAAAUUCCAAUCGAACUUGGAGAUAGCUGGUUCUCUCCGAAAUAGCUUUAGGGCUAGCCUCAAGUGAUGAUUAUUGGAGGUAGAGCACUGUUUGGACGAGGGGCCCCUCUCGGGUUACCGAAUUCAGACAAACUCCGAAUGCCAAUUAAUUUAACUUGGGAGUCAGAACAUGGGUGAUAAGGUCCGUGUUCGAAAGGGAAACAGCCCAGACCACCAGCUAAGGUCCCAAAAUAUAUGUUAAGUGGAAAAGGAUGUGGCGUUGCCCAGACAACUAGGAUGUUGGCUUAGAAGCAGCCAUCCUUUAAAGAGUGCGUAAUAGCUCACUAGUCGAG